CUUCUGAGGUGAACAUGGACCCACUGUCACCGGGCAAGGUCUAGGAUGAACAUGGAUACCCACCAUUAUCGGGGAGAUUCCAGAGUGGACAUGGACCCACCAUCAUCAGUGUCCCUUGGGAAGGAGAGACCCCAGCAGCAUUCAUUACCACCCGAUGCUUGCUAAUGGUGUGACCUUGAAUGAGUCAGCCUGUCACCUGUCUGUGCCUCCGUUUGUCUGUCUGAGAGUGUUAAUGGCUGCUUAUAAGGUGCACACGGUACGAAUGAUGCUGAAUGAAUGGCAGUUGGACAUGUUUUCUUUGUUGAACCCUCUUUGAGGCCUCUCGGAAGCCAGAGAGAAUAGAGGACGGUCCAGAAACCUUGU
This 363-nucleotide long non-coding RNA is filed under the name Mus caroli (Ryukyu mouse). Its description in RNAcentral is "lncRNA (MGP_CAROLIEiJ_G0004917.1)". Lineage: Eukaryota; Metazoa; Chordata; Mammalia; Rodentia; Muridae. The record is from RNAcentral.